This 107-nucleotide ribosomal RNA is filed under the name Peromyscus maniculatus bairdii (prairie deer mouse). The record is from RNAcentral. Lineage: Eukaryota; Metazoa; Chordata; Mammalia; Rodentia; Cricetidae.
AUUUAUGGUCAUACCACCCUAACACACCCAGUCUCCUCUGAUCUUGGAAGGUAAGCAGGGUUGGACUGCUAAGGGCUUAGUACCUGGAUGGGAGGAAGUCCUAUCUU